RNAcentral lists this ribosomal RNA (523 nucleotides) under uncultured bacterium. RNAcentral's name for it is "bacterial SSU rRNA". It matches the Rfam family "Bacterial small subunit ribosomal RNA", at positions 355 to 896 of the family's 1533-position model. The record is from RNAcentral.
UGGGGAAUAUUGCACAAUGGAGGAAACUCUGAUGCAGCGACGCCGCGUGAGUGAAGAAGGUCUUCGGAUCGUAAAACUCUGUCCUUGGUGAAGAAAGAAAUGACGGUAGCCAAGGAGGAAGCCCCGGCUAACUACGUGCCAGCAGCCGCGGUAAUACGUAGGGGGCGAGCGUUGUCCGGAUUUACUGGGCGUAAAGGGUGAGUAGGCGGUUAUAUAAGUCAGAUGUAAAAGGCACAGGCUUAACUUGUGUAAGCAUUUGAAACUGUAUAACUUGAGUGCAGGAGAGGUAAGUGGAAUUCCUAGUGUAGCGGUGAAAUGCGUAGAUAUUAGGAGGAACACCAGUGGCGAAGGCGACUUACUGGACUGUAACUGACGCUGAGUCACGAAAGCGUGGGUAGCAAACAGGAUUAGAUACCCUGGUAGUCCACGCUGUAAACGAUGAGUGCUAGGUGUUGGGUAGCGAUACUCAGUGCCGAAGUAAACACAAUAAGCACUCCGCCUGGGGAGUACGGUCGCAAGACUG